AUUAUCUUUUUAAAAAAACUUUAGACCUUUCAAAAUAUAAAAUAAGUGAUUUUUUCAUAAUCAAUGUUAAAAUCUGAACGGCGAAAAAUGAUAUUUACGUGAUUUGACCAACAGCCUAUGUCCACAGAUGAAGACGAAGCAAAAUACUUUAUUAAUCUUGAAAGACGAAGUAUUAAAAAAAUCUCUCAAAAAAUUAAAUC
RNAcentral lists this long non-coding RNA (200 nucleotides) under Ananas comosus (pineapple). Its description in RNAcentral is "long non-coding RNA (ACOM_LNC033713)". Lineage: Eukaryota; Viridiplantae; Streptophyta; Magnoliopsida; Poales; Bromeliaceae. The record is from RNAcentral.